This 521-nucleotide ribosomal RNA is filed under the name uncultured bacterium. Its description in RNAcentral is "partial 16S ribosomal RNA". It matches the Rfam family "Bacterial small subunit ribosomal RNA", at positions 29 to 523 of the family's 1533-position model. The record is from RNAcentral.
AACGAACGCUGGCGGCGUGCCUAACACAUGCAAGUCGCGCGCGAGGACGGCCUUCGUGUCGUUAGUAGAGCGGCGCACGGGUGAGUAACACGUGGGUAAUCUGCCCUCGGGACCGGGAUAACCCAGGGAAACUUGGGCUAAUACCGGAUAAGACCACGCAACGAGAGUUGUGUGGGAAAAGCGGAGGCCCUCUUCGGAGGCUUCGUACCCUUGGAUGAGCCCGCGUCCCAUCAGGUAGUUGGCGGGGGAAUGGCCCACCAAGCCAAAGACGGGUAGCUGGGCUGAGAGGAUGAUCAGCCACACUGGAACUGAGACACGGUCCAGACUUCUACGGGAGGCAGCAGUGGGGAAUCUUGCGCAAUGGGCGAAAGCCUGACGCAGCAACGCCGCGUGAGUGAUGAAGGUCUUCGGAUCGUAAAGCUCUGUCGGCAGGAAAGACGGAUUGCAUGGCUAACAUCCAUGCAGUCUGACGGUACCUGCAAAGGAAGCACCGGCUAACUCUGUGCCAGCCGCCGCAGUAA